GUACGCUCCUGAGGGCUCAGCCGCUCUCCCAACUUGACCUUGUCUAACUCACCUGUCUGACUCUUGUACCCUAGGAGGUUUUGUAGAGGAAUGCCUCAGAGGCAGGGGCGCAGAUCGCCACCACCCCCUCUGCUCUUGGUAGGGCUUCAACAUGUUCACAUGGAUCAUUUAUUGCUGUAGCGGAAUGGAUUUGCUUUAACCGACCUAAUUCCCUUUGUUCGGCUGGCCGUACA
This is a non-coding RNA of Pelobates cultripes (western spadefoot toad), 233 nucleotides long. Lineage: Eukaryota; Metazoa; Chordata; Amphibia; Anura; Pelobatidae. The record is from the annotation of a GenBank genome assembly.